RNAcentral lists this long non-coding RNA (1111 nucleotides) under Ananas comosus (pineapple). Its description in RNAcentral is "long non-coding RNA (ACOM_LNC035504)". Lineage: Eukaryota; Viridiplantae; Streptophyta; Magnoliopsida; Poales; Bromeliaceae. The record is from RNAcentral.
AUACUCACAAAUUUCUGAGGAAAAUCGUAUAGAUCUGGAAGAGGAAGGCACUAGGGAUUUUUAGAGAGAGAGAGAACGAAGUUUGGUUCAGAUUUGAGAGAGAAUAAAAGCCCUGUAACCGGUUAUAUUUCCGCGGCUACAGUAACCGUACCGGUACACGGGAUUGUGUACAGGUACACAUCCCCAGAUUUCGAAAAAUUUACUUUAAAAAUCCAUCAAAUUAAAUUAAAUUCAUAUAAAUUAAGGAUUUUACUUCAAAUAUCAUUAAAAUGAGAAUAAAUCAUUAUAAGAUUUCAAAAUACAUCGAAACAUCAAAAUUUCAUUAUAAAAAAUGAUCUCAAGUUUCAAAAUCAUCAAGAUGUAACGGUUUACGAAAAAAUAAUUUUUAGAAAUUCGGCAAAAUAGACACCAAUUUGUCGCAAUCCGUUCAAAAUAGAGAUUUAACUAAUAUAAUACUGGGGGGUGGCUCUUUGAGCAUCUUUUUCAAACUAUCACCUUAUAACUCCGAAAAUUCUAAACUAUUCAAAUUUUUCUCAACCUUUUCGGUUAAUCAAUUCAAUCUUUAUGUGGUAGCUUCACACACUUGCCGGACGACCGGGGUGGUAGCUCUUUCCUACAUGUGGUGGUAGUUUUCACACUCCUUUUGGAUGUAACUCUUUUCACAUCUUUUUAAACAUAGGAGUUUUCUCCAUUUUUUUUAAUAAAUUCAAACUCUCUCUAAAUUAGACAAUCUUACAAUUGAAAAUAUCUUGACAAAUUUUAGUCUAUUAGCGAAUAUCCAUCUAUCAUAUUCAACACACACAACCGAGAUAGAUUAAUCACCAAGAGAUCAAAUUUGAUUUCAAAAUUUUAAUGAAUAUAUGUAUUAAGAAAUCAUAUAUUAAAUUAUCGUCAAAAUAAUAAAAAAUGGAAUAAAAACGAUAAUUAAUAUGAAUUUAACUUAAUAUGAUUGUGAAGUUAAGUACUGUUUAAGCGACAUUGAAAAAUUUCUCUCCUCAAAAUAAUGAUUCUCAAUCAUCUCCUUUCUCAAAAAUUUUGAAUUUUUAAACACCUUUCCUCAAAAUGAAUUUUAAACAAACAAAAUUCAAAGCACCAAAAUUCAUUUAAACAU